This is a long non-coding RNA of Ornithodoros turicata, 795 nucleotides long. RefSeq lists it as uncharacterized. NCBI's taxonomy places the organism in Eukaryota, Metazoa, Arthropoda, Arachnida, Ixodida, Argasidae. The transcript has 4 exons. The record is from RefSeq and is a predicted model, not a curated record.
CGACCGGCUAUCAUUAGGUCGAACACAGCUGUUGCAAAGUAAUCACUAACAGUUUUACGAGCCUGUCUUGAGUAAGCGCAUGAUUCAUAAUGAUGCUGGCACCUGUCGUCCUCAUCAGCUCCAUCAUCUUUAUGCACUUUGCAGGAGGCACAACAAACGACAUCGCAACAUAUAAAACUGUUACCCAGGACGGCUUGAAACUGCAACAGAGAAGUGGGUGCCCUCUGUCCACUUGCGCAGUCCAUACACUGGAACAACAGUUGAGCCACUUCACCGACGACAGCAAAAAUAAGUCAGGAGGCACGGGCCCAGAUAGCUUCGGCCGGAGGAAGAGAAGGUCGGUACAAGACAGAAAACUUCUUCUGGAACUUGUAGCCGGAAGAGUCAGACGCUGACGGGUUCCCCGACCCCCACCUGAUGGCGCACGACACUUUUACUUUUAAUAAGACACACGUUAAUUUUUGAAUUUUGGAAAUAAAAGUCUCGUAUUCUUGUGAGGGAUUGGUUGAUAGUAAAAGAAAAACGUAGAGUCGUUAGGCCCAAACUACUCAGGACUAGCUAGUCCAGUACGCGUUAUUGAGUGUUCAUUAUAUGUAAAACAAAAGUUGAUCGUGAACGAACUAUGGAACUGUGCGACCUGGCGAACUGGAACUGUGCGAACUGGAAUCAUGUGCAACGCUGCAGUGGUCGGUACUUUGGUUACUCUUCCCCACCUGUGGUGCCUUCGCGCGAAGUGCAGCAUGUGUUACAGCGGAUGCUACAACAGAUGAUGUAGGACAUGUCGACCCUUGAACC